CUGCCCACUGAAUGAAGUUUAAAGGGCCGCGGUAUUAUGACCGUGCAAAGGUAGCAUAGUCAAUAGUCUCUUAAUUGGAGGCUGGAAUGAACGGUUGGACGGGAAGAUAGCUGUCUUAACUGAGUACUACGAAUUUGACUUUUAUGUGAAAAGGCAUAAAUGGUUUGGGGGGACGAUAAGACCCUAUAAAACUUUAUAAUUUGAUUAGGAAUUUGAUUUGAGUUUAAUAUGUGCCUAAGGAUUGUUAUUUCGCUGGGGAGGUGGAAAUAAAAUUCUUCUAACUGUUUUAUAAUGUAAAUAACAAUAAUUAGAUGAUGACCCUGAAUUUUGGUUUAAAAGUUUAAGUUACUUUAGGGAUAACAGCGUAAUCUCUCUUGAGAGUUCAUAUCGACAGAGAUGGUUGCGACCUCGAUGUUGAAUUAAAAUUUCCUACAGGAGUAGAAAUUUGUGGGGUAGGUCUGUUCGACCUUAAAGU
This 475-nucleotide ribosomal RNA is filed under the name Leptalpheus forceps. RNAcentral's name for it is "partial large subunit ribosomal RNA". It matches the Rfam family "Bacterial large subunit ribosomal RNA", at positions 1859 to 2594 of the family's 2925-position model. Lineage: Eukaryota; Metazoa; Arthropoda; Malacostraca; Decapoda; Alpheidae. The record is from RNAcentral.